GAAGUAAAAGUCGUAACAAGGUUUCCGUAGGUGAACCUGCGGAAGGAUCAUUAUUGAAAUAAACCUGAUGGGUUGCUGCUGGUUCUCUAGGGAGCAUGUGCACACUUGUCAUCUUUAUAUCUCCACCUGUGCACCUUUUGUAGACCUGGAUAUCUUUCUGAAUACCUUACCCUAGGCAUUCAGGUUUGAGGAUUGACUUUCUGUCUUUCCUUACAUUUUCAGGUCUAUGUUUCUCCAUAUACCCAAUGUAUGUUAUAGAAUGUAAUAAAUGGGCCUUUGUGCCUAUAAACCUAUACAACUUUCAGCAACGGAUCUCUUGGCUCUCGCAUCGAUGAAGAACGCAGCGAAAUGCGAUAAGUAAUGUGAAUUGCAGAAUUCAGUGAAUCAUCGAAUCUUUGAACGCACCUUGCGCUCCUUGGUAUUCCGAGGAGCAUGCCUGUUUGAGUGUCAUUAAUAUAUCAACCUCCUCAGCUUUUGCUUGUUGAGUGUUGGAUGUGGGGGUAUUUUUUGCUGGCCUCUCCUGAGGUCAGCUCCCCUGAAAUGCAUUAGCGGAACAAUUUGUUGACCGUUCAUUGGUGUGAUAACUAUCUACGCUAUUGACGUGAAGCAGGUUCAGCUUCUAACAGUCCAUUGACUUGGACAAAUUUCAUUAAUGUGACCUCAAAUCAGGUAGGACUACCCGCUGAACUUAAGCAU
RNAcentral lists this ribosomal RNA (696 nucleotides) under Cortinarius sp. PDD 91872. RNAcentral's name for it is "eukaryotic LSU rRNA". The stretch from base 297 to 450 matches the Rfam family "5.8S ribosomal RNA". The record is from RNAcentral. Lineage: Eukaryota; Fungi; Basidiomycota; Agaricomycetes; Agaricales; Cortinariaceae.